This 810-nucleotide ribosomal RNA is filed under the name uncultured bacterium. RNAcentral's name for it is "bacterial SSU rRNA". It matches the Rfam family "Bacterial small subunit ribosomal RNA", at positions 8 to 796 of the family's 1533-position model. The record is from RNAcentral.
AGAGUUUGAUCCUGGCUCAGAACGAACGCUGGCGGCGUGGAUAAGACAUGCAAGUCGAGCGAGAUUUUUUCCUGUAGCAAUACAGGGAAAAGUCUAGCGGCGAACGGGUGCUUAACACGUGGGCAACCUGCCGAGAAGUGGGGGAUAGCUCGCCGAAAGGCGAAUUAAUACCGCAUGUGAUUAGAGAGGACAUCCUCUCGAAAUUAAAGUCGGGGCAACCUGACGCUUUUUGUGGGGCCCGCGGCCUAUCAGCUAGUUGGUGAGGUAACGGCUCACCAAGGCUUUGACGGGUAGCUGGUCUGAGAGGACGACCAGCCACACUGGGACUGAGACACGGCCCAGACACCUACGGGUGGCAGCAGUCGAGAAUUUUUCUCAAUGGGGGAAACCCUGAAGGAGCGACGCCGCGUGGAGGAUGAAGGUCUUCGGAUUGUAAACUCCUGUCAUUGGGGAACAAGGUGCAUACGUUAACUGCGUGUGCAUUGAUAGUACCCGAAGAGGAAGAGACGGCUAACUCUGUGCCAGCAGCCGCGGUAAUACAGAGGUCUCAAGCGUUGUUCGGAUUCAUUGGGCGUAAAGGGUGCGUAGGCGGCGCGGUAAGUCGGGUGUGAAAUCUUGGAGCUUAACUCCGAAACUGCAUUCGAUACUGCCGUGCUUGAGGACUGGAGAGGAGACUGGAAUUUACGGUGUAGCGGUGAAAUGCGUAGAUAUCGUAAGGAAGACCAGUGGCGAAGGCGGGUCUCUGGACAGUUCCUGACGCUGAGGCACGAAGGUCAGGGGAGCAAACGGGAUUAGAUACCCUAGUAGUCC